Hemicordylus capensis (graceful crag lizard) is the source of this 838-nucleotide long non-coding RNA. RefSeq lists it as uncharacterized. Lineage: Eukaryota; Metazoa; Chordata; Lepidosauria; Squamata; Cordylidae. The record is from RefSeq and is a predicted model, not a curated record. The transcript is spliced from 3 exons.
CCUGUGAUGGUUAAGGUCAGUUGGAAUGCAACUGUUCUUGACUGUAGAGGAAAGGAAUCUAUAUAUAUAAAAGGAUAGUGGACAGGGGUAUGUGAAGAGAGGGGUUGUGAGAGAGGAAAGAGCCCCUUCAGGAGGAGGCUGCCAUUGUAUGAAUUAGAUGAGGAAACAAGAUGAACAAGAUCUGUUAACUCAGGAAGGGCGGGGGAGAGAGAGAGAAAGAAAAAAAGGAGGGGAAGAAAGACAGAGAGGAAGAGCGAGUGGAGGAGAGAGAAAGAGAGAAAAAGAAGGGAGAAGAAAAGAGAAAGAAGGAAGGGUGAGGGAUGGGACUGAGUCUGUCAAUGGCCUGAGACGAAUGAGUGGCCAUGGCAGCAGUGGUGGCAGCAAGGAAGGGCCCAGUCAACCACUGCUGCUGUUUGGGGCUACCAAGGCCAUUGGUGGAGGGAGGGAGGCAGGCAAGCAAGCAACAAGGCCUGGGUCUGUCAGCAGCCUGAGAGGAACGAGUGGCCAUGGUGGUGGCGGCAGCGAGGAAGGGCCCAAUCAACCGCUGCUGCUGCUGCUACUCCUGUGGGGAAGAGCAGGAGCGGGGCUCAGUUUGUCCCAGUGGGGACCCCAUAGAACAGGACAGUCAAAGUCCCAGCCCAUGGGCCAGAUCUGGCCAUGAGGCUUCACUCUCCGACGCCAAACCCGGAGCCAUGUCUGCCACUGCCACCAUCGCCGAGAAGCUUCAGGGGCUGGCAGCAGGCUGGUGAGGGCAGCUGAGCUGGGUGGCUCAGCACACCAGCGUUGGUGAUCCAUAAAAGAGAGUCGUGCGGCCACCAAGAAACUGUGUUCAAGAGCA